RNAcentral lists this transfer RNA (77 nucleotides) under Komagataeibacter rhaeticus. RNAcentral describes it as "tRNA-OTHER". It matches the Rfam family "tRNA". Rfam says of the family: Transfer RNA (tRNA) molecules are approximately 80 nucleotides in length. Their secondary structure includes four short double-helical elements and three loops (D, anti-codon, and T loops). Lineage: Bacteria; Pseudomonadati; Pseudomonadota; Alphaproteobacteria; Acetobacterales; Acetobacteraceae. The record is from RNAcentral.
GGGGCUGUAGCUCAGAUGGGAGAGCGCCUCGUUCGCAAAUGAGGAGGUCAGGGGUUCGAUUCCCCUCAGCUCCACCA